AGGAUCUUCUCGUUCAUGGGAGAUGAUUGAAAGAUGGUUUCGGAUAUCACUUACAGAUGGGCCC
RNAcentral lists this ribosomal RNA (64 nucleotides) under uncultured Bacillus sp. RNAcentral describes it as "partial 16S ribosomal RNA". Lineage: Bacteria; Bacillati; Bacillota; Bacilli; Caryophanales; Bacillaceae. The record is from RNAcentral.